AAUGUUAAACCGGGGUGCCUUAGGCUGAGAUUAUACCCGUUGAACCUGAUUCGGUUAGUACCGACGAAGGGAGUAUAAAACACGCUUUU
Molecule: non-coding RNA, 89 nt
Organism: Gilliamella sp. N-G2
Lineage: Bacteria; Pseudomonadati; Pseudomonadota; Gammaproteobacteria; Orbales; Orbaceae
Source: Rfam